CUCUGACGCCCAACAGCUAGCUUAACCAAACACCUCAACACUUACAUAUUAAUUAUUAAAUACAUAAAAGUAUAAACAAACCAUUUUUCCACUUUAGUAUGGGCGACAGAAAAAGUUAAUCCAACGCAAUAGAAAAAGUACCGCAAGGGAACGCUGAAAGAGAAAUGAAAUAACUCAGUCAAGCAUAAAAAAGCAGGGAUAAACUCCCGUACCUUUUGCAUCAUGAAUUAGCUAGAGUCCGCCAAGCAAAAAGCAUUUUAGUUUGAAAACCCGAAACUAAGGGAGCUACUCCAAGACAGCCUAAUAAAUAGGGCCAACCCGUCUCUGUGGCAAUAGAGUGGGAAGAGCUUUGAGUAGAGGUGAUAAGCCUACCGAACUUAGUUAUAGCUGGUUACCUGGAAAUUGAAUAGAAGUUCAGCCUCUUGGAUUCUUUCUUCCCCUUUGGUUACACCUAAACAAGAUGAAAAGAAGCUAAGAGAGUUAGUCAAAGGGGGUUCAGCCCCUUUGAAAAAAGAAACAACUUUUUGGAAUGGGUAAGGAUCAUACCCCUCAAGGUAGAAUGUUUAGGUGGGCCUAAAAGCAGCCACCCUAGAAAAAAGCGUUAAAGCUUAAACAUAAAACCUCAAACCUUAGAUCCCGACUUUUUUCUCCUACCCCUUCCUCCACCCACCAGGUUUUCCCACAUACCCUGGGAGUAAUUAUGCUAAUAUGAGUAAUAAGAGGGAUAAGACCCUCUCCCCGCCCAAGUGUAACCCGGAACGGACACCCCACCGGCCAUUAACGGCCCCCUAGCUGAGGGAACUAGACCUAAAAGAGAAAACUAGAAAAUCACCUAAACUAAACCCGUUAACCCCACACUGGAGCGCCCCCGUGGAAAGACUAAAAGAAAAAGAAGGAACUCGGCAAAUAUUUCCUAGCCUCGCCUGUUUACCAAAAACAUCGCCUCUUGUUAAUCAACCAUAAGAGGUCCCGCCUGCCCUGUGACUAUAUGUUUAACGGCCGCGGUAUCUUGACCGUGCGAAGGUAGCGCAAUCAC
RNAcentral lists this ribosomal RNA (1036 nucleotides) under Rhadinocentrus ornatus. Its description in RNAcentral is "partial 16S ribosomal RNA". The stretch from base 191 to 1036 matches the Rfam family "Bacterial large subunit ribosomal RNA", at positions 568 to 1968 of the family's 2925-position model. The record is from RNAcentral. Lineage: Eukaryota; Metazoa; Chordata; Actinopteri; Atheriniformes; Melanotaeniidae.